GCGCAAGCACCGGCUUCGGCUGGAUCGUGCCCGCCAGAGGACCACAACUCUGUAUCAAAUGUCGUCUGAGUACUAUAUAAUAGUUAAAACUUUCAACAACGGAUCUCUUGGUUCUGGCAUCGAUGAAGAACGCAGCGAAAUGCGAUAAGUAAUGUGAAUUGCAGAAUUCAGUGAAUCAUCGAAUCUUUGAACGCACAUUGCGCCCUCUGGUAUUCCGGAGGGCAUGCCUGUUCGAGCGUCAUAAUGACCAAAUCACCCUUGUGGUGGACUUGGAGUUGGCCUGUACUGGCCUCUCUUAAAAUCAGUGGCGGUGCUCUUAAAGCUCUACGCGUAGUAAUUUUCUCGCUAUAGGGUCUUGAUUGUACUUGCCAACAACCCCAACUUAUCAUAAGGUUGACCUCGGAUCAGGUAGGGAUACCCGCUGAACUUAAGCAUAUCAAUAAGCGGAGGA
This 451-nucleotide ribosomal RNA is filed under the name fungal sp. CZ-2011t. RNAcentral describes it as "eukaryotic LSU rRNA". The stretch from base 88 to 241 matches the Rfam family "5.8S ribosomal RNA". The record is from RNAcentral. Lineage: Eukaryota; Fungi.